UUGUAUCAACGGCACCACGAGGGUUAGACUGUCUCCUUUUUCAAAUCAGUGAAAUUAAUCUCCCCGUGAAGAAGCGGGGAUACUCAUAUAAGACGAGAAGACCCCAUGGAGCUUCAAACCCAACUACACCCCUAGCUCUUAUAGCCCCACAACCCCCCUAGGCACCGUGUGCUUGGUUUUAGGUUGGGGCGACCGCGGAGUACAAUAAAACCUCCACAAUGAAUGGGAACACCCCCUUAUCUGAGGGCCACACCCCCUAAGAAUUAGAACACUAACAUAAAAUGAUCCAUUACUUGAUCAAUGAACCAAGUUACCCUGGGGAUAACAGCGCAAUCCAUUUCAAGAGCCCCUAUCGACAAAUGGGUUUACGACCUCGAUGUUGGAUCAGGGUACCCCAGUGGUGCAGCAGCUACUAACGGUUCGUUUGUUCAACGAUUAAAACCCU
Molecule: ribosomal RNA, 445 nt
Filed under: Mantidactylus melanopleura
Lineage: Eukaryota; Metazoa; Chordata; Amphibia; Anura; Mantellidae
Description: partial 16S ribosomal RNA
Rfam family: Bacterial large subunit ribosomal RNA
Source: RNAcentral